Molecule: ribosomal RNA, 253 nt
Filed under: uncultured bacterium
Lineage: Bacteria
Description: partial 16S ribosomal RNA
Rfam family: Bacterial small subunit ribosomal RNA
Source: RNAcentral
UACGUAGGGUGCGAGCGUUGUCCGGAAUUACUGGGCGUAAAGAGCUCGUAGGUGGUUUGUCGCGUUGUCCGUGAAAACUCACAACUCAAUUGUGGGCGUGCGGGCGAUACGGGCAGACUGGAGUACUGCAGGGGAGACUGGAAUUCCUGGUGUAGCGGUGGAAUGCGCAGAUAUCAGGAGGAACACCGGUGGCGAAGGCGGGUCUCUAGACAGUAACUGACGCUGAGGAGCGAAAGCGUGGGGAGCGAACAGG